RNAcentral lists this ribosomal RNA (450 nucleotides) under uncultured bacterium. RNAcentral's name for it is "partial 16S ribosomal RNA". It matches the Rfam family "Bacterial small subunit ribosomal RNA", at positions 354 to 796 of the family's 1533-position model. The record is from RNAcentral.
GUAGGGAAUCUUCGGCAAUGGACGAAAGUCUGACCGAGCAACGCCGCGUGAGUGAAGAAGGUUUUCGGAUCGUAAAACUCUGUUGGUAGAGAAGAACGUUGGUGAGAUUGGAAAGCUCAUCAAGUGACGGUAACUACCCAGAAAGGGACGGCUAACUACGUGCCAGCAGCCGCGGUAAUACGUAGGUCCCGAGCGUUGUCCGGAUUUAUUGGGCGUAAAGCGAGCGCAGGUGGUUUAUUAAGUCUGGUGUAAAAGGCAGUGGCUCAACCAUUGUAUGCAUUGGAAACUGGUAGACUUGAGUGCAGGAGAGGAGAGUGGAAUUCCAUGUGUAGCGGUGAAAUGCGUAGAUAUAUGGAGGAACACCGGUGGCGAAAGCGGCUCUCUGGCCUGUAACUGACACUGAGGCUCGAAAGCGUGGGGAGCAAACAGGAUUAGAAACCCCGGUAGUCC